This 242-nucleotide long non-coding RNA is filed under the name Mytilus galloprovincialis (Mediterranean mussel). Lineage: Eukaryota; Metazoa; Mollusca; Bivalvia; Mytilida; Mytilidae. The record is from RNAcentral.
UCUGCCUAAUUUUGUUCUUGCGAUAAAUAUUUGUUUCGCAAUAUGUCGCUUAGAUAUUUGGUAUAUGAUAUCGAACAGUUUAUGCGCUUUUGAAAUUUACCCUGCGUAACCGAAUACUUUUCUUUGUAGGAGUUAUCUCCCCAAACACUGUUUUUUUUGUGUCCACGACUCCUUCGCAACCGUAAAAGAUUACGACAACUUUAUUUUAUAAAAUUGCUCGUUAUAUCCUUCGCAUGAUUUGU